UAGGAGGCAGCAGUGGGGAAUAUUGGGCAAUGGGCGAAAGCCUGACCCAGCAACGCCGCGUGAAGGAAGAAGGUCUUCGGAUUGUAAACUUCUUUUAUGAGGGACGAAGGACGUGACGGUACCUCAUGAAUAAGCCACGGCUAACUACGUGCCAGCAGCCGCGGUAAU
Molecule: ribosomal RNA, 168 nt
Filed under: uncultured rumen bacterium
Lineage: Bacteria
Description: partial 16S ribosomal RNA
Rfam family: Bacterial small subunit ribosomal RNA
Source: RNAcentral